UAAUUCGAAGCAACGCGAAGAACCUUACCAGGUCUUGAACAUGGUGUUAAAGGCUCUAGAGAUAGAGAGAUAGUUAUAGCACACACAGGUGGUGCAUGGUUGUCGUCAGCUCGUGUCGUGAGAUGUUGGGUUAAGUCCCGCAACGAGCGCAACCCUUAUCUUUAGUUACCAGCAGUAAGAUGGGGACUCUAAGGAGACAGCUAGCGAUAUGCUAGAGGAAGGUGGGGAUGACGUCAAAUCAUCAUGCCCCUUAUGACCUGGGCUACACACGUGCUACAAUGGACGGAGCAAAGCGAAGCGAAAUGGUGACAUGGAGCAAAACGCAUAAAACCGUUCUCAGUUCGGAUUGUAGUCUGCAACUCGACUACAUGAAGUUGGAAUCGCUAGUAAUCGUAGAUCAGCAUUGCUACGGUGAAUACGUUCUCGGGUCUUGUACACACUGCCCGUCAAACCACGAGAGUUGAUAACACCCGAAGUCGGUGGCCUAACCGUAAGGAGGGAGC
This 503-nucleotide ribosomal RNA is filed under the name uncultured Eubacterium sp. RNAcentral describes it as "bacterial SSU rRNA". It matches the Rfam family "Bacterial small subunit ribosomal RNA", at positions 947 to 1453 of the family's 1533-position model. Lineage: Bacteria; Bacillati; Bacillota; Clostridia; Eubacteriales; Eubacteriaceae. The record is from RNAcentral.